Drosophila ananassae is the source of this 1508-nucleotide long non-coding RNA. RefSeq lists it as uncharacterized. The record is from RefSeq and is a predicted model, not a curated record. The transcript has 2 exons. Lineage: Eukaryota; Metazoa; Arthropoda; Insecta; Diptera; Drosophilidae.
UUCUCGUACAAAUACCAAAAUUGAUGUUGUUUUUAGUCGGCGAGCGGUAUUGUUGGGGCCAACAAACAAACAUUUGCCGGCUUAUUUGGAACGUGUUUCAUAGACAGGAUAAGCGGUUAAGUCUCAUUUGAAUAUAAAUGGCCAUUGGCCAUACAUUUUCACAGAAACUGAAAGCAGACUCGGUGGGGAAAUCGGAUGAUUACUGGGACUGGGAGCUACGGAUGAGUAAUACCAGUAACCCUAAUGGGGCCAAGACGAUGGCUUACUCAUCGAAGACUUCAAAGGAGGUGGAGACUGUGGUGAUUCUACGAAGACAGGAGGUAGAAGAAAAUGCAAAUCCCCCACCAAUAUAUCAACCAAAAAGGUAUAAUCUUUAGUGAAAAAAAACCAGUUCAGACUACCAUAUUUCUACCUAUUAUUAUCACACAAUAAAAAAAAAAAGAAACAUCUCUAAUAUGAAACAUGAACGAAAUAAUAAUAAAAAGAAGUUUUAAGCUUGAUUCGGUGUUCGAGCUAAGCAAAGCAGAAUCAGAAUCAGAACCAGAGAGAGUUCUCCAAAGACAACUUCUUGUUUCCUUCUUCAAGAUUCCGGUUCUUUGGAGCCAAAGAGAUAGAGGGGCAAAGGAGCCAAAGAGAGAGGGAGCCAAAAGAGAGAUGGGCCAGGAGCCAAAGAGAGGGGAGCAGAGCAGAGCAGAGGCUGUGGAAAGAGAGACCCAGAAGACGUAAUUAAUGAUCCCGAAAACGUUGACGACGGACGGCAACAGCAGCAGCGCAGCAGCGGCAGCGGCAGCAACCCAUGAAGGGGCAAACGCAUGUUUUUUGUGCCUCGACUGGACCGACAGAUGAAAUACAGACUAAUAAUCUCGCCUAAAACCCACUGACUAAUGGCUCAAAAUUGUGCUUCAGAUAAAGAUAUAUUUCUUAAAAAUGAAUUGUUAAAAAAAAAAAAAUCAACUGAUUAACCGGCUAUUGAAUCAUAAAGCAGAAAAAAAAAACCAAUUUAAGGAGUUUAUCAGAAUGAUUCACGGCGUGUUCUUAAUAAAGGACUUGCUCUGGCAACUUAUCAGGCUGAAUGGUAUUUGUAUUUGUAUUUGUGUGGAAUGGUCUUGGAUGGCUCGACUCUGGAUGCCAUAAGAAGUUGUACUACAACUCGAUGUUUGUAGUAUUUGUAGAAUGUUGAGGGGCGAGUCUGCACGACAGCAAGACGUACUACAAGAUACACAGCAACAGCUAACGCAACAUGGAAACCGGUUCGGAUAACAAAAACAAAAAACACAGAUACUCCAUCAAGUGUCUCUAUGUGUGUGUGUGUGUGUGUGUAAACAAGAAGAAGAAGACAUUAUAACAGAUCUGGCCAGGAGAGGGGAGAGAGCCCCCACACUCUCACAGAGACCAACACCUACCUCCCUUUCCUCCUCCUCCUCCACCUCCCUUUUUUUUUUUCUCUUUCCAUAUUCUUGAACUUCAAAAAGUACAACAAAAUCGAACUGAGGCCCAGCAUAAAACAA